This 266-nucleotide long non-coding RNA is filed under the name Lathyrus oleraceus (garden pea). Its description in RNAcentral is "Pisum sativum (pea) long non-coding RNA (PSAT_LNC028900)". Lineage: Eukaryota; Viridiplantae; Streptophyta; Magnoliopsida; Fabales; Fabaceae. The record is from RNAcentral.
AAGACUUGAGGGGGCUAUUGUUUCGGUCUAGACUUUUGCCUCAUACAAGACCAUGAUACAAGGCCAAUACUUUAAAACAAUAUAAGUUUAAGGGGUUACUUUCCCAUUCUAAUGGGUGCUUUUGCACCAUUCUGAAAAACUAAAAAUAUCCUUAAAUUUUAGAAAUUCAUUUCUAAACGCAAAACAUUCAUCUCAUUCAUUUAUAAGUGAGUCACACUUUCAUUUUGUAAAAAAAAAAUCAAAAAUAUACUUUCAUAAGUGUUUUA